Molecule: ribosomal RNA, 662 nt
Filed under: uncultured Cyanobacterium sp.
Lineage: Bacteria; Bacillati; Cyanobacteriota; Cyanophyceae; Chroococcales; Geminocystaceae
Description: bacterial SSU rRNA
Rfam family: Bacterial small subunit ribosomal RNA
Source: RNAcentral
CGGACGGGUGAGUAACGCGUGAGAAUCUGCCCUCAGGAGGGGGAUAACGGCUGGAAACGGCCGCUAAUACCCCAUAUGCCGAGAGGUGAAAUGAAUUUCGCCUGAGGAUGAGCUCGCGUCUGAUUAGCUAGUUGGUGUGGUAAAGGCUCACCAAGGCUUCGAUCAGUAGCUGGUCUGAGAGGAUGAUCAGCCACACUGGGGCUGAGACACGGCCCAGACUCCUACGGGAGGCAGCAGUGGGGAAUUUUCCGCAAUGGGCGCAAGCCUGACGGAGCAACGCCGCGUGAGGGAUGAAGGCCUCUGGGCUGUAAACCUCUUUUAUCAAGGAAGAAGAUCUGACGGUACUUGAUGAAUAAGCCACGGCUAAUUCCGUGCCAGCAGCCGCGGUAAUACGGGAGUGGCAAGCGUUAUCCGGAAUUAUUGGGCGUAAAGCGUCCGCAGGCGGUUUUACAAGUCUGUUGUUAAAACGUGGAGCUCAACUCCAUUUCGGCGAUGGAAACUGUAAGACUAGAGUGUGGUAGGGGCAGAGGGAAUUCCCGGUGUAGCGGUGAAAUGCGUAGAUAUCGGGAAGAACACCAGUGGCGAAGGCGCUCUGCUGGGCCAUAACUGACGCUCAUGGACGAAAGCCAGGGGAGCGAAAGGGAUUAGAUACCCCUGUAGUC